Helicoverpa zea (corn earworm) is the source of this 492-nucleotide long non-coding RNA. RefSeq lists it as uncharacterized. NCBI's taxonomy places the organism in Eukaryota, Metazoa, Arthropoda, Insecta, Lepidoptera, Noctuidae. The transcript has 2 exons. The record is from RefSeq and is a predicted model, not a curated record.
CCAUCGUUGGUGAAGGCAUUAGGCGCGUCGGGCACGAAGUGGCUCGCGUCGAACUCGCUGCCGCUCACCGCGCCGUUUGCGCUGUAGCCCGCUUUCCUGGAUAAGUUGGGAAUAAGAAUUUAAAUCAGGGCAGGAGGUUGACGAUCUCGAUACCAACCUAGCUUCUCUAAGUGCAUAAGCUGACUGCACGAGAACAACUCCACACACGAUGGCAGGAAGACGCGCCACGUAGCACGCCAGCUCAGCACCACCGUAUACUCCUUGUAGACCCUGGAACCAUAAACAAUAUAUGUCUUGUAUAUUUAGGAUAAAUAACAACAACGGUGGUUUACUAUUUAACUCUUUUAUGUACUGCCUUGUGUAUCCCCUACAUAUUGCUUAUUUCGAUACGAAUAAAGUAGGUAAUGAUAAUCUUUCCGCCUAUUUUUAUAUUUUUAAGUGUAUUUAAAAUGUAAAUAAAAUGUAUUUAUAUGAAUAAACGAAUGAAAUCUU